Molecule: long non-coding RNA, 304 nt
Organism: Plutella xylostella (diamondback moth)
Lineage: Eukaryota; Metazoa; Arthropoda; Insecta; Lepidoptera; Plutellidae
Source: RefSeq, a predicted model, not a curated record
UUCUACGUGAAAUAGCGCUUGAAACAAGUUCCUCGGAAAUUGAGAUUGAGGUGGAGUAAGUACGGAACUUACGAAAUAUGAAGAGAAAGGUGUACUUUCAGAGAACUGAUAGAUUUGCAGGUUCCAGGUCUCAAAAAUGUGGCUCGUGUGUUGGCUUUAAAACUAGAACCUUUCUUACUGCCUCCAACGACGAAAAAUUUUGCAAUCACUCAAAUACAGAAAUAUAUCAAUGAAAAUAAGGACAGAACUAAGAAGAGUGCAGCCCAUUAUAGUGGCUACGGCAUAGCUGCAUAAUAUAUUAUGU